GCUUCCGUGGCUCAGUUGGUUAGAGCGCCAGUCUCAUAAUCUGGAGGUCACCAGUUCGACCCUGGUCGGGAGCA
This 74-nucleotide transfer RNA is filed under the name Armillaria ostoyae. It matches the Rfam family "tRNA". From Rfam's summary of the family: Transfer RNA (tRNA) molecules are approximately 80 nucleotides in length. Lineage: Eukaryota; Fungi; Basidiomycota; Agaricomycetes; Agaricales; Physalacriaceae. The record is from RNAcentral.